UAGCGAUAGCUAAUUGUACUAACAAACAGUUAAUGCAAUAUCGACUAUGUUGAAUAAAAUUCUAGGUAGAAUUAUGAUAAUGACAUUAUCUGCCUAUGUGUCUUGACCAAAUUACGUGCCAGCAGUCGCGGUAAUACGUAGAAGACUAGUGUUAUUCAUCUUUAAUAGGUUUAAAGGGUACCUAGACAGUAAAUCAAGCCAACAAAGGGACUAAUUUACUAGAGUUACUUGUGAGGGGGUUUGAAAGUACUAGUGGUGUUUAGAGAUGAAAUUCUUUGAUACCUUUCUAAGCUUAGGAAUUACGGCACAGGUAUAGGCGAAGGUAUCCCCUUAUGUGAUAACUGACGUUGAAGGACGAAGGCUUUUUGUAGCGAACAGGAUUAGAUACCCCAGUAGUCAAAGCAGAAAAUGAUGAAUGUCAUAGAUUAGACGUAUAAUAGUUUAUUCUAUAAAUGAAAGUGUAAGCAUUCCACCUCAAGAGUAAUUUGGCAACAUUGGAACUGAAAUCAUUAGACCGUUUCUGAAACCAGUAGUGAAGUAUGUUGUUUAAUUUGAUGCUCCGCAAAAAACCUUACCACAAUUUGAAUAUUUAUAUUGUUUUUUUUUUCAAUUUUUUGAAAAGAAAAAUGUAUAUUUACAAGCGUUGCACGGCUGUCUUCAGUUAAUGUCGUGAGACUUUGGUUAGAUCCAUUAAAUUAACGUAAACCCUCACUUUAUUUUUAAAUAAAGUAGUUCUCCGCUAGAUUGGAUAAGAUAACA
Molecule: ribosomal RNA, 759 nt
Filed under: Lecanora layana
Lineage: Eukaryota; Fungi; Ascomycota; Lecanoromycetes; Lecanorales; Lecanoraceae
Description: SSU rRNA
Rfam family: Bacterial small subunit ribosomal RNA
Source: RNAcentral